AACGAACGCUGGCGGCAUGCCUAACACAUGCAAGUCGAACGAGACCUUCGGGUCUAGUGGCGCACGGGUGCGUAACGCGUGGGAACCUGCCCUUAGGUUCGGAAUAACUCCCCGAAAGGGGUGCUAAUACCGGAUAAUGUCUUCGGACCAAAGAUUUAUCGCCUUUGGAUGGGCCCGCGUUGGAUUAGCUAGUUGGUAGGGUAAAAGCCUACCAAGGCGACGAUCCAUAGCUGGUCUGAGAGGAUGAUCAGCCACACUGGGACUGAGACACGGCCCAGACUCCGACGGGAGGGAGCAGUGGGGAAUAUUGGACGAUGGGCGAAAGCCUGAUCCAGCAAUGCCGCGUGAGUGAUGAAGGCCUUAGGGUUGUAAAGCUCUUUUACCCGGGAUGAUAAUGACAGUACCGGGAGAAUAAGCUCCGGCUAACUCCGUG
RNAcentral lists this ribosomal RNA (433 nucleotides) under uncultured bacterium. RNAcentral's name for it is "partial 16S ribosomal RNA". It matches the Rfam family "Bacterial small subunit ribosomal RNA", at positions 29 to 507 of the family's 1533-position model. The record is from RNAcentral.